Molecule: microRNA precursor, 113 nt
Filed under: Corchorus capsularis
Lineage: Eukaryota; Viridiplantae; Streptophyta; Magnoliopsida; Malvales; Malvaceae
Description: pre miRNA mir-172
Rfam family: mir-172 microRNA precursor family
About the family: mir-172 has been experimentally verified in Arabidopsis thaliana. This family is thought to target mRNAs coding for APETALA2-like transcription factors. The mature sequence is excised from the 3' arm of the hairpin.
Source: Rfam by way of RNAcentral
UUGUUUGCAGAUGUAGCAUCAUCAAGAUUCACAUGCAAAGUAUGUAUAUAUGAUGCAUAUGAUAUAUAUUGGUUUUGGCCUGGGAAUCCUGAUGAUGCUGCAUUCGCAAUGAA